Molecule: ribosomal RNA, 451 nt
Filed under: Globigerinella siphonifera
Lineage: Eukaryota; Foraminifera; Rotaliida; Globigerinidae
Description: bacterial SSU rRNA
Rfam family: Eukaryotic small subunit ribosomal RNA
Source: RNAcentral
GGCUUAAUUUGACUCAACGCGGGGAAUCUUACCGGGGUCCGGACACACUGAGUGACAGACAGUUGUCUUUCCCUCCCUUCGGGGUGGGAUUACAAAAGAUAACAGAUCUUUCAUGAUCAUGUGAUGGGUGGUGCAUGGCCGUUCUUAGUUCGUGGAGUGAUCUGUCUGCUUAAUUGCGUUUCAAAUUUUAUAUUUGUUAACAUGCGAGUCUUCAAUGACGGCCACUCCACCUUAUAGACAUUAUAUGAUAUGCACAUUUGUGUAUUUGAUUAUAACUUGUCUGGAGUCUGGCUCGAUUUUUUUGACUCAAUUGAACGCAACGGACGUGAUUGCAAGUCCUUGUUGAACAAAUUAUAUAUAUACUACUUCAUCAUUAGUAUAUAUAGUUCGCUUCUCAUGUCGUACAAACGGGCGGGCGUCUUAAUUGGCGCGGAGGCUUAAUAUGCUGCGG